This 1519-nucleotide long non-coding RNA is filed under the name Salmo salar (Atlantic salmon). Its description in RNAcentral is "lncRNA (ENSSSAG00000097763.1)". Lineage: Eukaryota; Metazoa; Chordata; Actinopteri; Salmoniformes; Salmonidae. The record is from RNAcentral.
GUCACACUGCUUUGCUUUAUCUUGGCCAGGUCGCAGUUGUAAAUGAGAACUUCUUCUCAACUAGCUUACCUGGUUAAAUAAAGGUGAAAUAAAAAAAAUAAAAAAUAAAAAUAAAUUUCCAACUUUAGCCCUUUUUACUCCACUGUUCUUCACCAUCGUCCCCUCAUUGACACCACUGUACUCACGCCAAGAGAAUCACAUGAUACUUCCGCUUCCGAAGUAGCACCCAUAUUGUUCUCAUUCCAGCCCAGCUGUUGCUUCACCAACAUUUUCUCCAUUUCAUCCGCACUACUCGCCGCCAUCUCCCUCCCUGAAUCAAGUUGUAAAACCUCAAUGAAGCCCUGCAUGUCCUCCCCUAUGCAGUGCCUUAGACCGCUGCGUCAUCCGGGAGACCCUUGCUAGAUGGUUUUUCAUCUUUCUACAGAAUUCCAUGCUCAUGACGUAGAUGCUGUCAUUCAUGGCAGGUGUGCCCUUUUCCCAUCUCUACAGUCACGUGAGGACAGCUGGCACUCGUGGCAGGUGUGCCGACUUAUAACUCUAUGGCAAGGUAUUUAUACGGGCAGGUUCGAGUGCGCCUCCUUUCAAUCCGCGUCCUUCACCCAGACAGAGCUGAGUACUUGAGCAUGACAAACAACUCUCACAAGCAACAACCAGUAUGCGUCAUUGAAAUAUAAACCACACUCCAACCAAGUCUCAUGUCAACAACUGUCAAUCAUGCCCUGCCAUAUAUCAUCUCCAUUACCAGAAUCUAUAAAGACUCUUAAACUGACCUGCGUCUCUGCCUCAACGUGCUCCUUAAGACUGGAGUCCCACACUGAAUGGGCAUCGCUAUAACGCUCACCUAAACCUAUCAGUUAGUCUUGUAACUGAAGAAUAUUGUGACAACUAGGAAUCCAAAGUUUUGGUCAGUGUUUCCCUGGACACCCUUAUUAGGUGAGAACAUGCAGGAAAUGUAUAAAUCGUCUUAAAUGUAAUCGAAAAUGUUAUCUACGUACUGUAUAUCUACGUACUGUACUGUAUAUCCUAUUCAACAAAACUGUAUGAAUACGGCUUGAAAUGACAUAUAUUUUUUCUAAGUAUAAUAAAAUCAAUUUAUAGAAUGACUAACUAAUUGCUGUGAACAUCUCACAGAGCUCUAGCUUGGCUUCCUGAACCCGUUAGGAAUUCACCUUUCAUCUCAUAUUAAUAUUGUCCAUCUAUGAGAAAGUGUUUUUCUGUUUAUAAUCUAUUCAUUAUUUAAGAUCACUGGCUAUAAAUCUAUCUCUGAAUGUGCCAUAGCGACGAAACCACUAUGUCCUGCUGGGUUACGAUGUAAGGAUUUCAGGUAUGUGUGUUAGUGGCUGUGACGAAGCUAGGACAGUCUUUGCCCAUCUUCCGAAAACAUCUUAAACCCUUCCUCUUGAAACAGUAUCUUAAAUAAUCCCCCCGGGAACCAGUGUGUUAUAAUGACCAGGGCCUUCAUAGUGUUAAAGGAACAUUUUUGGGGGGAUAUGUACCUUUCAAAAUACAUAAAUCAUCC